RNAcentral lists this ribosomal RNA (225 nucleotides) under uncultured bacterium. RNAcentral's name for it is "partial 16S ribosomal RNA". It matches the Rfam family "Bacterial small subunit ribosomal RNA", at positions 524 to 745 of the family's 1533-position model. The record is from RNAcentral.
UACAGAGGGUGCAAGCGUUGUUCGGAAUUAUUGGGCGUAAAGGGCGCGUAGGCGGCAAUUCAAGUCAGCUGUGAAAUCUCCGGGCUUAACUCGGAACGGUCAGCUGAUACUGCUUUGCUAGAGUGCAGAAGGGGCAAUCGGAAUUCUUGGUGUAGCGGUGAAAUGCGUAGAUAUCAAGAGGAACACCUGAGGUGAAGACGGGUUGCUGGGGCUGACUACGUGACG